UCGAGAAUUUUUCACAAUGGGCGCAAGCCUGAUGGAGCGACGCCGCGUGGGGGAUGAAUGGCUUCGGCCCGUAAACCCCUGUCAUUUGCGAUCAACCGUUAUUAUUUAAAAGAUGAUGACCUGAUGGUAGCGAAAGAGGAAGGGACGGCUAACUCUGUG
Molecule: ribosomal RNA, 159 nt
Filed under: uncultured Verrucomicrobium sp.
Lineage: Bacteria; Pseudomonadati; Verrucomicrobiota; Verrucomicrobiia; Verrucomicrobiales; Verrucomicrobiaceae
Description: partial 16S ribosomal RNA
Rfam family: Bacterial small subunit ribosomal RNA
Source: RNAcentral